UAGUUUGGUGCAAAAGUAAUCGCGGUUUUUGUAGUUGAAAUUAAUUGUAAAAAUUGCUAUUACUUUUGCACCAACCUAA
This 79-nucleotide microRNA precursor is filed under the name Cebus imitator (Panamanian white-faced capuchin). RNAcentral describes it as "miRNA (ENSCCAG00000012715.1)". The record is from RNAcentral. Lineage: Eukaryota; Metazoa; Chordata; Mammalia; Primates; Cebidae.